This 3289-nucleotide long non-coding RNA is filed under the name Podarcis lilfordi (Lilford's wall lizard). Lineage: Eukaryota; Metazoa; Chordata; Lepidosauria; Squamata; Lacertidae. The record is from RNAcentral.
AUCUGUUCAACUGAUGGAAUGUAUGAGAAUGUGCACAAGCAGGCUUCACCGCAGAAUAACACUUAUUUAUUAAAUUAAUCAUUAUUUGUUUCAUUAGCUUUUAUAUGCUUUUAUAGUGUUUUUUAAUUGAUUUUAGGCCGUAUUUUUUCUUUUAAUCUAUAUUUUUUAUUGUAGAUAGCAUACGCCACAUAGAUAUUUUAAAAAUAUCAGGUGGUUUAGAAGUGCUUUGAAAUGAAUAAACAAGCUAAAUAAAGUAGAAUAUAGUUUAAUUGUGACUCCAUAUAUAGGAGCAGCCUACCAUUGAACCCCUGGAUGCUGAGGAAAAACAGUCGCCUAUUGUGAGGUACUAGGCAGGAAUGUGGCUGUUUGCUGCUGGAAACAGAACUCUGGGCUGAUGGUGAUAUUCCCAUCAAUCAAGACAUAUUCAUUUCUAUGUUCCUUUUCUGCAAAUAACGUACCCAGAGUAGGGGGCAUAGCUAAAGACAAAGACGUGAAUGUUCCAUAACAACACACCAAGUUUAUUACACAAUAAAUAAUAAAAAGUAACAAAAUCACAAAUCCGCAAUUGGCCACGAAGCUCACUGGGUGACAUUGAGACAGCUGCUCUUUCUCAGCCUAACCUACCUCAAAGGGUUGUUGUGGCGAUUGAAUGAGGAAGAGAGAACCAAGCACACCACCUUCACCUCCUUGGAGAAAAAGCCUGGGAUAUAAAUGCAAUAAAUGACUAAUGAUAAAUAAAUUGAAAAUUGAAAAUAAUUAAACUAACAGAAUCUCCAUGCACAUCCUGUACAGUUCAUUGAGGGUGCUGGGGAUUCGUAGCUGUGUGAAGGCAGAACUACAGUUCCCAACAUUCUUUGAGGGAAUCUGUGUGCUCUAAACGUAUGGGCUGCAUGUGAAGGAGAGUCAAGGGCUAACAUCAGUUCCUUACAACUGCCGUUCCCCAUGCUGGGCCUAUGAAAGUGUUUCCGGAUAGCUGGUGAAACCCCUGCAAAGUACAGUGGUACUUCGGGUUACAUACGCUUCAGGUUACAGACUCCGCGAACCCAGAAAUAGUACCUUGGGUUAAGAACUUUGCUUCAGGAUGAGAACAGAAAUCAUGCGGCAGCAGUGGGAGGCCCCAUUGGCUAAAGUGGUACCUCAGGUUAAGAACAGUUUCAGGUUAAGAACGGAUCUCCAGAACGAAUUAAAUUCUUAACCCGAGGUACCACUGUAGUUCAGGCGUUGAAGAGGAAAAUGUUGCAGCACAUGGCUUUGCCCACUAGAGGUCUCUAAGACAACAGAAAACACCUAGCACAUCACCGCUCCCAAACCAGCGAAUAUUUGCCUCAUUAAUGCCCUUCAGCUUUAUUUGACAGUCAGUAGGAAGAAGACUAGCCUUGUCUACUGUCACAUUCAUUCACAGAACGUAUUGCCUGAUUUGCCAGAGGUAUGAUGCGAAGAGAGUCUGAAUUUGUACGAUUACAAAUUCAGCUUCGUUGCAGAAUCCCAGAAGGAACAGCGCCCACAGAAGCAAAACACCCAGCACUUCAGCUGUGCUGUGAAAAAGAACUGCGAUUUAAUUCAAUUCCAACACAUAGCUCAUUUUUCUAUGGAGGGUUGUAACAACAGCAAAUCAGAACAUCCAAAUUUUAAAGUCAGCCUUAUUUUUUAAUUAUUUAAGAGCCGAACUAUGCAUUAUGACAGAAACCUGUGCAGUUUACCUCGAGGUGUUUCUUCAGAUAGGUCUUUAUUGUGGGAUUAGCGCUUCUCAGGCACUGAAGAUUUUUCUUGUGGCAUUACAACAACAGUUUGGCAUCAAAAUGCCAGCCCAUAAUUACACUCCCCUAACCCUUUCCAGGGAAAGUCCAAUCAGUUUAGCAACCACCACCACCUGUUACCAAUGACUCAUUUUGCAAACUAGGAACUCAGUUACAUUCAUAAAGAUAAAGUGCUUUACAUGUGUUAUAACACUUUGACACCAGAUGGCGCUGUGGGGUCCUGUCUUUUGCCAAUGGGUUUUCCAUGUAUGAAGUUUACAACGUGUUUAACUGAAUUGCUUCUUUGAUGUGUCUAGAUCAGGGGUCAGCAAACUUUUUCAGCAGGGGGCCAGUCCACUGACCCUCAGACCCUGUGGGGGACUGGGCUAUAUUUUGAAAAAUAUAUAUAUUAAAUUCCUAUGCCCCACAAAUAACCCAGAAAUGUAUUUUAAAUAAAAGCACACAUUCUACUCACAUAAAAACACGCUGAUUCCCGGACCAUCUGUGGGCCAGAUUCAGCCCCCGGGCCUUAGUUUGCCUACCCAUGGGCUAGAUCAGGGGUCAGCAAGGCUUACCGGGCAUGGGCCAGAUCACUCCCGCAGAGAUCCUCCGUGGGCUGGACCGGCGCAGUGUGAUUUCUGGCGUCUGGGCAUGUGCAGAAACGAUUUCCAGUGCUGUGCAAGGGAGUCUCCAUGCUGUGCUGAGCCGGUUUAGCGCAGCACGCGGGGACUCACCAAAUAGGUGGCUCGGUUUGGGGGCGGCUCGUGGGCCGGUUAAAUGGCCUCUGUGGGCUGCUUCUGGCCCAUGAGCCACAGGUUGGGGACCCCUGGUCUAGAUCCAGCCUAGGCGGCCGUCUGGAAGUACUUCUUCCUCUGAAGAUUUGCAAAUAGAAGCCAAUAUUUAGAGCAGGGUUGGAGUGGGGAGGGGGUUGGGGUAGGUCUCUGCUGUGGAUUUAUGUGGUGCAUAAAUUAAUUAAUGGUUAUCACUUUCAUUUUGUGUGUUGUGCAUUUUUUAAAAAAAGGAUACAUUCAGAUGACAUUUUAUUUCGACGCUCCAAUGUUGAUGUCUGCAUCUUGUAUUGUGGUAGUGGCCCAAAGGGCCAUAAUGAAUGUGAUGAUGUGAAUCCCUAUAAAUCCUUGAAUAUGCUUCUAAUAGAGAAGUUAUAGUAACCUGCUGCUUUAAGAAACUGAUGAUUUUGCAAGAUGCCGCCCCCCACUGAGACAGAAGGACAGCUAAUACCUAAAUCACGAAGACAUAGCUCAUAACUUAGAACAUAAGUUCAUACAUGGUACAAAUGACUACACGUAACACAUGUUCCCAACAUGCAUAUUAACACAAUGUAACAGAUCACAGUGAGAAUCAAAGUUUAGUUAGCAAUGCUUAUUGCACAUGUGUAGUAAACAUGAAAUGAGGUAAUGAUGUACAUGAUUGGUGAAAAUUGAAAUCCUUUGUUUGAAAUGUUAUAAAUACCACCGCCCUGACCCUUGGGCGGGGUUGCAGUUUUGCGAAAAGAUUUGACUGUAAUCUAUUGCUUUGCAAUAAACAACAACAGA